CAAUAGCGUAUAUUAAAGUUGUUGCGGUUAAAAAGCUCGUAGUUGGAUUUCUGCUGAGGAUGACCGGUCCGCCCUCCGGGUGAGUAUCUGGCUCAGCCUUGGCAUCUUCCUGAAGAACGUAACUGCACUUGACUGUGUGGUGCGGUAUUUAGGACAUUUACUUUGAGGAAAUUAGAGUGUUUCAAGCAAGCGCACGCCUUGAAUACAUUAGCAUGGAAUAAUAAGAUAGGACCUCGGUUCUAUUUUGUUGGUUUCUAGAGCUGAGGUAAUGAUUGAUAGGGAUAGUUGGGGGCAUUCGUAUUUAACUGUCAGAGGUGAAAUUCUUGGGUUUGUUAAAGACGGACUACUGCGAAAGCAUUUGCCAAGGAUGUUUUCAUUGA
Molecule: ribosomal RNA, 380 nt
Filed under: uncultured eukaryote
Lineage: Eukaryota
Description: partial 18S ribosomal RNA
Rfam family: Eukaryotic small subunit ribosomal RNA
Source: RNAcentral